CUGACCGAGGAAAAACUCAGUAUAUAUAUAUAUAUAUAUAUAUAUAUAUAUAUAUAAACAAUUAACGAGUUCGUAAAGUUUUCCAGGGCUGUUUAAAGUCAAGAUGAAUCCGUCAGUUAUUUUCACGGACUUGUGGCUGAGCUGCACGUGUUUACCUUCGGAACACGUCACGGAGACGCGAGUCACAUCAUGGACCAGAGCAUCCCUCUCUCCACAUCAGCUGUCCAUCUGCCAAACACCACAACUCCACUCAUCCUGUCCCCUCACUUCCCUCCCUCCCACGCUCCAUUCUUCUCCGGCCCAUUAAGAGCUAUCAUGAAGCUAAUUGCCUGUUUGAUCAACUCUCUAUGGACCAGGAACUGGAGGCUUUUAGCCCUCUGAGCGUAAAAGGAGAGACGGACGAGGCAGGAGGGAUGUAAGGAUGUGUGGGAAAAAUACGCCUCGUGUCAGCUGGCUUUCACUGGUUGGGUUAGGUUGUAAUUGUUUUUUUUAUUUUUUGUGCUGUGGACAUUUCAAAAGAGAGAAUGAGGGGAGAAAAACAUAUAUAUAUUUUUUAUCUUUCUGUGCCACUUGCUGGAAGAUUUUCUGUCCUGUGAGCAACACAUUGUAGAGCGCUGUGGCAGAGGGCAUCCAGUAUAGAUAGACCUGAGCCUCAGCGAGCCUCAUCAAGCUCAUGAAGGGCCAUGUUCUCAAAGUAUCUUGCACACUUGAGCUUCUGAGAGGGGGUGGGGUUAUUCCUGACAGACUGCUGGGAUAUCCAAAGGUUUUUAAAGCUGCAUAACUCCAUUUUUCUCCAGGGUAAUUGGAUUGUUUCGAUUUG
This is a long non-coding RNA of Siniperca chuatsi (mandarin fish), 820 nucleotides long. RefSeq lists it as uncharacterized. The transcript has 2 exons. Lineage: Eukaryota; Metazoa; Chordata; Actinopteri; Centrarchiformes; Sinipercidae. The record is from RefSeq and is a predicted model, not a curated record.